GACGAACGCUGGCGGCGUGCCUAAUACAUGCAAGUAGGACGCUGAAGGAGGAGCUUGCUUCUCUGGAUGAGUUGCGAACGGGUGAGUAACGCGUAGGUAACCUGCCUGGUAGCGGGGGAUAACUAUUGGAAACGAUAGCUAAUACCGCAUAAUAGUAGAUGUUGCAUGACAUUUGCUUAAAAGGUGCAAUUGCAUCACUACCAGAUGGACCUGCGUUGUAUUAGCUAGUUGGUGGGGUAACGGCUCACCAAGGCGACGAUACAUAGCCGACCUGAGAGGGUGAUCGGCCACACUGGGACUGAGACACGGCCCAGACUCCUACGGGAGGCAGCAGUAGGGAAUCUUCGGCAAUGGACGGAAGUCUGACCGAGCAACGCCGCGUGAGUGAAGAAGGUUUUCGGAUCGUAAAGCUCGGUUGUAAGAGAAGAACGAGUGUGAGAGUGGAAAGUUCACAAUGUGACGGUAUCUUACCAGAAAGAGACGGCUAACUACGUG
RNAcentral lists this ribosomal RNA (495 nucleotides) under uncultured bacterium. Its description in RNAcentral is "partial 16S ribosomal RNA". It matches the Rfam family "Bacterial small subunit ribosomal RNA", at positions 28 to 507 of the family's 1533-position model. The record is from RNAcentral.